UUAAGAAAGUUUUUGAUAAAGGUGUAACAAUUUUUUAUUUUAUUAAAUCUCCACCCUUGAGUUCCCAUCUUUUUAUUAUUCUGUGAGACAAAUGGGAAGUUCUCACAAAGUACUUCUACUGCACAUAGAAGAAAACCAUCAUCUUAAAGAAAAACACUUGUACAGUUAUCUGAGUGUGAGCUGACCCAACUUCUACUUUCAUGGUAUACCAUAAUAGAACUUUCAUAUGUAUACCCAAAAACUUAAAGUAUAAUAAAAAAAGAAAAAGAAAAAUAGAACUUUCAAGCAAAAAAAAAUUUUUUAAUUAAAAUUUAAAUUUAAAAUUUGAAAACUGUGUAUCAUAGUGAGCUUAACGUCUUUCCAAUCUUAAAUGCUUUUUGAUGAGGUCAGUGAGAAUGUUGACAAAAGUGGGGGUUUGGGUUAUCAUGUAAUAAAAUGGAUAAACAUUUGGAAGAUCCACAUAGCUCAGGGAACCCAUGCAUGAUGCUACAAAAUCAUUCAAGGUAAAAGAUCCAUUCAAAGUGGAAACUAGACUAAUGGAUUCAAUGUAAUCAAAUACAAAAAGUUCCCUGGUGUGGUUUCAGAUUACACAUUGCAGCUAGCCAUUGGGAAACUAUAACUUGUGGAGUUUUGGUGUAGUCUCAUAGAAGAAUACCCACAACCUGCUUGAAAGCUAUUAAAAUAUUCCUCCCUUUUCCAACUACACUUCUGUGUGAGGCCAGAUUUUCAUUACGUACUUUAGCCAAAAUGACAAAGAACAAGAUUGAAUGCAGAGGCAGAUACAACAUUAAUGAUACUAAAGAGAUUUGGGAAAUGUAAAACAAUGCCACUGUUCUCACAGAAGUAUUCUUUGUUUUGGAAAAUAUAGUUACUUUCCAUUAAAAAUUAUAUUGUUAGUUUUAAAUAAACAUAUUAAAGAUAUUUGAGAGCUUCUUAUUUUUACUUUCUAAUAUGGUAAAUUAAUAUGGACUUUUUGGGGUCCUCAAUAAUAUUUAAAGGAGUUAACAGGUUCUGCAACCAAAAGUGUUGAGAACUACUGCUUCACAGGUAAGUACUACAAUGAAAUCCCAUUUGUCUGUCAAAAUCCAGACUGGUAGUAGAAAUGUGGGUUGAAGAAAGUUGGCAAGUUAGGGAAUCAUAAAUUGAUAAUAUGUUCAUGUUUUAAUCACUUUCCUUUAAAGAAAAGUAUGCGUAGAUUUCUGCCACUCUUUUGAUCUAAGGAUAAACCAUUUUCUUUGUCGGUCUGCCUUUUGCAGUGUCUUUCUUGCAUAAACUACACCCAUAAAGCAAUAUCUAAGAUUCCUAAUAUUUUUAGUGAAGAAUGGUAUUUAAAACACUGUGGAAAUCAACCCAAAUGAAGGCCCUUUCUAGGUUUCCAAACUACUUUACACUAUUCCAAUUUUAAAACUGUAAUCUCACUCAUAGCUAAUUCAACAUAAAAGUUUUAACCCAUCACUUAUACUCUCUUUUCAAAACAUCCAACUUAAGUUUCAUAAAAGUAGCAACUCUCUAAACACAGACGUUUUGAGGAGUUACAGAAUAUGUAAAAUAUUUUAUUUACACUAAAUUUCAACAAGCAGACAUACAUUUGGAAAUAAAUGUAAUGAUAAAGCAGGUAUGGAUUUAAUAUCUUAAUGAACUAUUUAGUUUAUAAUGAAGAAUUUCUUGGCAUUGCAUGCUCAACCCGUUGAGAUUAUUUGGAGAGUUAUGAGCUUUGCAGGAGAUAUUCAUAACAUUAUAUAUCUAGAAUGGGUUAAAAUGGAUUUCUCACCUUGAGGAUAAACAUUUAUGACUUUAUUUUCAGUAGAGUAGUAAAAUAAGGACAAGGUAGAAAUAAGGAGGCUUGGUUUCACUCCUGCCUGCACCUCUAAAUUGUUCUGCAAACUUUUCUGGGUCACUGUGCUUCUUAGACUCAGCAGAGUACAGUUUUUAAAGGGAUUUGAUGUUUGACAUUUCAGUGGGUUCAGCAUAAAUGCAGAUGGUUGGGGCCCAUCUUAUGCCUAAAGGUGUUCCUACAUGUCUUUUAAUGCCUUUACUUUGAAGCUGACCUGAUGUCUUCUCGCUGGCCUUGUGAGAUGGGAUUUGCUGUCUCCACAAUCUCAGUUUUGAGUCCCAGCUCCACUACUGAUUGGAUGUAUUUUCUUAUCUAUAAAAUGUGGAUAACCACAGGUGAUUAUUAUAUGAGGUUAUACCAGUAAACUGCUUAGCAUGGUACUUAACAUAUACUAAUGAUUUCUAUGAAUAUGUUUGCACAACUUACUGUGAUUAUGGUAAAGCAUAUCAUUAAAUCCUUGGAAUUAUUUUUUAAUUUAUGAAAUAACUUUAGAUGAUUACUAAAAGUUCUGAUUUUGAAAUUUUGGAAGUCUACAUCUCCUCUUUUAUAAACUGAUAUAACAUCAAGUAGAUUUUUGUGACUAAGAUGUAAUUAUUUCCAAGAUCACUGAGAAGUAUUGCCCAAGUAAGCUGGAUAUCCCAAAAACUGUGAGCCAAAAAAUAAUAUAGAGAUAAGUAUCUUGUAGUUGAAUACUGACUAAAGAAAUUAUAACAUAUCAGUGUACUUAAAACACUGUAGAGAAGUAGAGAAGCUAAAAAUGAACUGCUCCAUGUGUGAAUUCUAUUGCUACUUGGAAAUGCGUCUAAGAAACAUUACCUGAAAAGAGCAAAAUAUCAAGGACUCUGAACCACCACUGUCCACAGUGGGCUGUCAUGCCAAGUGUAGUUUAUGCAUCUCUCCACAGCUGCAUUGUUGCCUACAGCCCCACAAGGUGCCUCCAUGCUCCGUGGCAGCCGGAAAUAGCAAUGUCUUCAAUCACACGCCUAUAAAAGCAAGGCGACUAAGAGUUCAGACCCCUCAGGGCUAAAGGCCUGGAUUAUCCAAUUGGUCAGACCGGCUGAAAUGUUGGUUAGUAGUGAAGAAUCUUGAAUGGGCAGUAAAGAAAGAAAAUGAUAAAUACUAAUUAGGAUCCCAGGACCAGCUGCAUGAGGAGAGCCUGUAGCUUGGCUUACAGACCCCCUUUCAAUCUUUACAAGAGACUGCAAAUGACCCUCUCCACUUUCUGGGAAAAAGUGAAGUCAUCUUAUUCUCUGGCCAUUUAGUUUGUAAAGAACAGAGAUGUGCCAGGUUGCUCAAAUCAAUUCUCCAAAUGUGGUACUCAAAUAGCAGCACAUUUUCUUAGUGGAUCUGUUCCCUUGAUGACAGGCUUCCCCCCAUUAAAAUAAACCUAUUAUAGACUGAAGUAUGAAAAUCAGGUACAUUUUUGAGAUCCUAAGAAAAAGUGAAGGGAAUCUCAUGCUUGCUGCCUGCAGCUCCAGCCUGGAUCUCCAGAUCUCCAAGGCUCCCCAUCUCGACUAUCAGACUGUGGGACACUUUCAUUGGAAAUUCUGAGAAGCACAGCCUUAGGUGUUGGAGGUUUAUGAUAAUGAAGAAAGAAAACUCAGAGGACAUCUCUGAAACUACACAGCCAGGCCUAGUGGAGAAAUGAAGUAGGCUCCGUACUGUCUGAGCCCCACACAGCUCAUGGUCUCUCCCCAUCUUACUGGACCAUGAGGACCCUUCAUCAGCAGAUGCCCACGACUGCCCCUCCACUGAUGCCAUUAUUGCCAUGAUGCAGCUUCUCUGUCUCUGCCCCCUCCUCCAUCCAAGUCUUUCCCUUCUCCCUCUUAUGAUACAACCCCUUUGUUUUUACUGAUUGAUCUUAUGACACAUCCCUUUUAUUUUUACCAGUUGACUCAUCUGACAUUUUUUCAAUGUAAAACAUUGAAAAAAAUUGGAUAAAAUAUGUCCCUGCCAUUGGAUUACACAUUAAUUUCUGAAAUUACAUCUCAUAUUCGGCCACUGUUGGUUAAUGCCCCAAGCUGGGCCAGUCAGUUUGAGGCAAUGCACCUGGCCUUUGUGAGUGUGCAGCUUGUCUUGAGAAAAGACAUUGGGCGUACAUAAGAUUCCCAAAAGUUCUCAUGACUUGCAGACAUGUCAACAGCAUUGCUCUAGUGAAGAGUGCUUUAGAGAAGAGAGAGGCUUGUAACACCAGCUGCCAUCUGCA
This 4040-nucleotide long non-coding RNA is filed under the name Homo sapiens (human). RNAcentral's name for it is "non-protein coding lnc-SLC35G4-4:1". Lineage: Eukaryota; Metazoa; Chordata; Mammalia; Primates; Hominidae. The record is from RNAcentral.